RNAcentral lists this ribosomal RNA (256 nucleotides) under uncultured bacterium. RNAcentral's name for it is "partial 16S ribosomal RNA". It matches the Rfam family "Bacterial small subunit ribosomal RNA", at positions 524 to 776 of the family's 1533-position model. The record is from RNAcentral.
UACGGGGGGAGCAAGCGUUGUUCGGAUUUACUGGGCGUAAAGGGCGCGUAGGCGGUCGUGACAAGUCACUUGUGAAAUCUCCGGGCUUAACUCGGAACGGUCAAGUGAUACUGUCGGACUAGAGUACAGAAGGGGCAACUGGAAUUCUCGGUGUAGCGGUGAAAAUGCGUAGAUAUCGAGAGGAACACCUGCGGCGAAGGCGGGUUGCUGGGCUGAUACUGACGCUGAGGCGCGAAAGCCAGGGGAGGCGAAUGGG